This 624-nucleotide ribosomal RNA is filed under the name uncultured bacterium. RNAcentral's name for it is "bacterial SSU rRNA". It matches the Rfam family "Bacterial small subunit ribosomal RNA", at positions 62 to 676 of the family's 1533-position model. The record is from RNAcentral.
UCGACGGCAGCAUGAUCUAGCUUGCUAGAUUGAUGGCGAGUGGCGAACGGGUGAGUAAUACAUCGGAACGUGCCCUGUAGUGGGGGAUAACUAGUCGAAAGAUUAGCUAAUACCGCAUACGACCUGAGGGUGAAAGUGGGGGACCGCAAGGCCUCAUGCUAUAGGAGCGGCCGAUGUCUGAUUAGCUAGUUGGUGAGGUAAAGGCUCACCAAGGCGACGAUCAGUAGCUGGUCUGAGAGGACGAUCAGCCACACUGGGACUGAGACACGGCCCAGACUCCUACGGGAGGCAGCAGUGGGGAAUUUUGGACAAUGGGGGCAACCCUGAUCCAGCAAUGCCGCGUGUGUGAAGAAGGCCUUCGGGUUGUAAAGCACUUUUGUCCGGAAAGAAAUCGCACUUACUAAUAUUAGGUGUGGAUGACGGUACCGGAAGAAUAAGGACCGGCUAACUACGUGCCAGCAGCCGCGGUAAUACGUAGGGUCCAAGCGUUAAUCGGAAUUACUGGGCGUAAAGCGUGCGCAGGCGGUUGUGCAAGACCGAUGUGAAAUCCCCGGGCUUAACCUGGGAAUUGCAUUGGUGACUGCACGGCUAGAGUGUGUCAGAGGGGGGUAGAAUUCCACGUGU